This 509-nucleotide ribosomal RNA is filed under the name Anepsiomyia flaviventris. RNAcentral's name for it is "partial 16S ribosomal RNA". It matches the Rfam family "Bacterial large subunit ribosomal RNA", at positions 1829 to 2597 of the family's 2925-position model. The record is from RNAcentral. Lineage: Eukaryota; Metazoa; Arthropoda; Insecta; Diptera; Dolichopodidae.
GUCUUUUUGAAUUUUAAUUUAAAGUCUAAUCUGCCCACUGAUUUAUUAAAUGGCCGCAGUAUCUUAACUGUGCAAAGGUAGCAUAAUAAUUAGUCUUUUAAUUGAGGGCUUGUAUGAAUGAUUGGACGAGAUAUAAACUGUCUUAUAAAAAAAUAUUGAAUUUUAUAUUUUAGUAAAAAAGCUAAAAUGUUUUUAAAAGACGAGAAGACCCUAUAGAUCUUUACAUAAUAAUUAAAUUAUUUUUUUUUAGAAAAUUUUUAAAUUAAUUUUUUAUAUGUUUUGUUGGGGUGACAUUGAAAUUAAAUAAACUUUCAAUAUUUAUUAAACAUAAAUUUAUGAAAUUUUGAUCCUUUAUUAUUGAUUAAAAAUUUAAGUUACCUUAGGGAUAACAGCGUAAUUAUUUUGGAGAGUUCAUAUCGAUAAAAUAGAUUGCGACCUCGAUGUUGGAUUAAGAUUAAUUCUAGGUGUAGCAGUUUAGAAUAUUAAGUCUGUUCGACUUUUAAUUUCUU